GAUGAACGCUAGCUACAGGCUUAACACAUGCAAGUCGAGGGGAAACGGCAUUGAGUGCUUGCACUCUUUGGACGUCGACCGGCGCACGGGUGAGUAACGCGUAUCCAACCUUCCCAUUACUGUGGGAUAACCUGCCGAAAGGCAGACUAAUACCGCAUAGUCUUCGAUGACGGCAUCAGAUUUGAAGUAAAGAUUUAUCGGUAAUGGAUGGGGAUGCGUCUGAUUAGCUUGUUGGCGGGGUAACGGCCCACCAAGGCGACGAUCAGUAGGGGUUCUGAGAGGAAGGUCCCCCACAUUGGAACUGAGACACGGUCCAAACUCCUACGGGAGGCAGCAGUGAGGAAUAUUGGUCAAUGGACGGAAGUCUGAACCAGCCAAGUAGCGUGCAGGAUGACGGCCCUAGGGGUUGUAAACUGCUUUUGUAUGGGGAUAAAGUUAGGGACGUGUCCCUAUUUGCAGGUACCAUACGAAUAAGGACCGGCUAAUUCCGUG
This 492-nucleotide ribosomal RNA is filed under the name uncultured bacterium. RNAcentral describes it as "partial 16S ribosomal RNA". It matches the Rfam family "Bacterial small subunit ribosomal RNA", at positions 28 to 507 of the family's 1533-position model. The record is from RNAcentral.